Podarcis muralis (Common wall lizard) is the source of this 2713-nucleotide non-coding RNA. Lineage: Eukaryota; Metazoa; Chordata; Lepidosauria; Squamata; Lacertidae. The record is from RefSeq and is a predicted model, not a curated record.
CGACUUAGGCGAUUGGCUUUUGGUUCUCCCUUCGGCCAAUAAGGAACGAGGUAUUGCAGGCAAGCUCGGCAGACGGGAGAGCGGCCGCCGGUCACCAUGGCGACCGCGCGAUAGAGGCACUGCGAAGGGGCGACACGCCCCCUUGUCUUAUAGGCCAGAAUUUCACCGGUGUAGCAACGCGGCCUUCCUCCCCGCCCCAAGCCAAGGGCCAGCCCUGCCCUUUGCGAAGCGCCGGCACCCUCGGGCAGGCGCCCGUGGAUGCGGACUCCAGCCCCGCGGGGGGCACACACAGGCACCGGGCCUUUCUGGGGGUCUUCAGCUCCCGCUGCUCGAGCGCCUGCUGGGCUUGUACGGUGAAGCCGCCGCCAGGCGGGCAGGGUGAUCCGGCCGCGAAUGUUGUGUGGAAGUAGACUGCCAUUGGCCAUGGAGGCUCCAUUGAGAUGCCAUGCCUAGCAGCGGGGUUGGAACUCCGCCUCCUCUUUUCAUGUGGGUGGGUGUCCCGCCCCAAUGAGGGCAGCGGGGUGCGGGGGGGGCGCGCUUCCUCAUAUUCAUCCUAAGUCCACCCGCAGUCAAAUCACACCCCCCCCCCCCGCAAAAGUAAAGUCCAAAUAUGAGAGGAGGAGGAAAACUUGGGCCCGCUUUCUUUCUCUACACUGGUGCCUCUUGCUCAGCAGUCUCAGAGUGUCCCCAGAGUGGCCAAGCUGGGAAACCGCAAAGCAGCCGGAGAUCUCCUUGGCAUGCCCACUGAGCUCCUACCAAGUGCAGUCAUGGAUGCAAAUGCAGAAGGCAUUAAAAGAGGACCAACACAGCUACCUCCCUGAACACUGGAAGAGGAUGAGGCUAGCCUCCAAGUUCUUCCUCUACAAAUUGAGGCAGUUUGCUUUUCACGGGGAUUACCAAGUGAUGGAGAUAAUAUUGCAUUCAGACCUUGCCCUUCAGAGGCACCACACCUCUGAUCCUAGAGGUCCUAGACACAGUCAUCAUGACUAUUAGCCACCAGAGCAAUAUGACCAGCUGCUACCAACCCCAGCAAGCAUGACCAAUGAACAGAUCUUAUUACAGGAGAGAAGCGGCUGCAGAACAGCCCAGAAUUCCAGCAGCCAACUGCCCACCAGACCUGUUAUGAAAAAGUAGAAAGUGCAUAUAUAGCCCACAAGCCUGGUGGAGGCAAUAAAAGAUGCCUUCGACUUCCAUUCAUCACUUUGUCAUCUUCAGCUACAUUCAGAUAGUGGUUAGCAGAGCUCACAACAUGGGCAAAUUAACACAUACGAGUCCCUUGCUGGCUUCCUCCUCUCAUAGCUUCCCACAGGAGAUAUAUAUUCCAUUUCCAUGGCUCCUGCCUCCUCUCCUCUUUGGGCCCCAUCCCAGAUGGAAACAAAAAAGAACUCUUAGGGUAUGAAAUGGGAUGGGGGUGAAGAAGGGAGAGUGUGUCACAGGCAGCAGCAGUUGCAGCACAGCCAAGGGGCUGUACAGUUGCUAGGAAUUAUUGUGGCAAUGUGACACAGCUUUCCCCCUCCAUCAUACUGAAGCAUGGUUGCUUCUGGUACUGAGGGGCUGAGAAGUUAAGAGGUCUGCCCUAAAAGAUUUGGCAGUGCAAAGAAGACAGCUUUGCCCUCAAACCCUGCUGCUCAUAAGAUGCCUGGAGGCACCUAGGUGGCUGUUGCUGUCAGAACAGGGUAGUGGGCUAGGUGGACCUUUUGUCUCAUCCCAUACAACUGCUCUUACAUUCUUAUACCCAGAGUAUCUGCUGUGGAAGUUGCAGAGGGUGCAAUGGAAACAGAACAGCUGUCCUACCCCGCCUGCAGCGUCAACUCUGGUGUGCCACUGCUCCCAAGAGCCCCUUUCUGUUCCUUCAGGGAAGAGGACCAACCUGGAUCUUCUACUCUGUCCCUGAGCUCCAGGCCUCAGCCUCUUGCCUGGCCUUGAAUAGCUGUCUGUCAGUGACAAUGCUGAGAAACUCAAAGCCAGUCUCCAAGAAAUCCAUGCCUCAGGUCUCUAGGGUCACAGCUGAGUUCGUGAAGAUCACACAAAUCAUUGGGAUCUCAUCUCUUAAACUUUAAAUCCACUGCCAGAAGAUAUAAAUAGCUUGGACACAAGCCAAUGUAAUCUACCCUUCCACUGUGCAGUGUGUAUAUACAUGGACAUUCAAAAUAAACUACAACACAGAAACUGAUCCUGCUGGAUUAAGACAAAUUUGGAUUUUAAUGCCCAGCUUUGCUCAGAGUCCUAGAGUUCAAGGGUCGAUAUAGUAGAUUGCAAGAAGGGUAUAGGUUAGUCAAGCUUCAACAUUUUAUCAUAAUAAACCAGAUGUGGACAAAACACCAAGUUGAAGCCCAUAAAUCUAUUACAGUGAACUGUCAAUGUCCCCCACGGCAGGGUCAUUUGUUAAUUCAUAGCUGGGUCUCUUUUUUCAACAGACCUUGUAAACUCUUUCCUGAAACAUCAAUAAACCAUCUGCUUUGACUAGUUAAUCAAAUGACUUUAUUCAGUCCAAAGCCAUUUUUUCCUAAUAAAAACAGAGUAUUUAUCUCCACGGCUAUAAAAGAGGAUUGUUUUCAACUAUUCACUUAUAGUUAAGAAGCGCAUUUAGUCUGGAUUGAUUUCCAAUGCCUUGGUCAUAUCCUGUCACUUUCCAUUUCUUACACACAACAUCUCAGUUUAGCUACUUAGCAGCGAAAAAAACACAACCUAACUUGGGGCUGGGCACCAGUUC